Molecule: non-coding RNA, 124 nt
Organism: Brassica napus (rape)
Lineage: Eukaryota; Viridiplantae; Streptophyta; Magnoliopsida; Brassicales; Brassicaceae
Source: Rfam
GGAAUAUAAGAACUUGUCUCUUAAUUUUUAAUUAAAAAAGUAAGAACUGGUUCUUAAAUAAGAGUUUUAAGAGCAGAUUUUUAACUUUUUUAGUUAAAAGUUAAGAGAGGUGUUCUUAUAUUCC